CUGUCAUGGCCUGUGGGAGGCGUGUACAUGCAGAGGGUGGAUCGAUCUUUACACAGUGACUUGUCAAAGUCUAACUGAUACAGUCCUGGCCGGCUUUAGGACAAGUCGCAGGGCUGUCUUCACCCACCCACAUUUGUUUGUCAUUCGUGUUUUUUCAGCCCUGAUGAGAGUGGUUGAACAGCAGGCAUAGCUGUCUUGUGUG
Molecule: non-coding RNA, 202 nt
Organism: Pelobates cultripes (western spadefoot toad)
Lineage: Eukaryota; Metazoa; Chordata; Amphibia; Anura; Pelobatidae
Source: the annotation of a GenBank genome assembly